UACAUGAUCUCUUACACUCUCUUCAUCACUCCUGCCUAUCUCUAACUUUCCAUAUUUCUUUCUCUCUCUCACACUGUUCACCUCCUACUAACUCUCUCACUUUUUCUUUCUCUCUCUCUCUCUCUCUUUCUCUCUGACUCACUUCCUCUCUCAUUUCAAGCUAUUUGUGAUAAAUUGUUCUUCACAGAAUAAAUUUUGGCAUGAUAAGAAUUCGAUGCUAUAUAAAGUGUUGAUGCGAUAUCUGCAACAAACCAAUUUUGUUUAGAAUCCUUGAUAUAUGUUUAGUUAUGAUAGUAGAGGUUUAGUUGAGUCCAUGUCGGUUUCUAUCCAUCCUGUGAUUAUAUCUUUUUCUUGUCGUCAUUAAAGUGUAUGUAAUUAUUAGUGAAUAAAUUGUCAAUAUUAAGGCAGUUAUUGGACUAACAAACUUGUUCAGUUGUUCAAAAAUUCAUUUCGUCUUUGUUUUAUUUUUUAAGAAUUUCAAGAGAAGCUUUUUUUUUUCAUUUCUUUUCGCUUCUAUGAUUUAUUUAUUGACUGUGUAUUGUAAUGUGUGGAAUCCUUAAGAAGCAUGCAUUAUUAUUAUUAUGGUCUUAUCAUUAUAUAAAUUCAGUUCUUGCUGGCCAUUUGAAAUUAAUUGCUAGUUUUGUUUCCACAGAAUUUCAUCGCCUUUUAUUUCUUUAUUUCUUUAUUGAUCUCUUGAAAAAAAAAAAAUAAUCAAAAUUUGCUUAAGGAAUUGUUUUAUAUUUGUAAAAUUCCAUAUUUUUAUUAUUUUUCCUUUAGUUUUGUGCGUGUAUAUUGAUAAUGACAAUGAUUAAGUACAUUAAUUUCAUAAUUUCCUUUAAUGAAUUAAUGUAAAAUUCAAAUCUCUAGAGUGUGUGUUCAAGCUCUGUAAUUUCCUUAAAGAAGGCUAGCAACAUCUUUUCUAUGAUCAAGUGCUCUUUAAUGGAUCCAACCAUGACCAUGCCAGAGCAACUGAAUGAUAUAUACUGACAAGAGCUGUGUUAUGUUAUUUAAUUAUCUGCAUGAUCUGUUAUUGUCGAGGCAUGAAGCAUGUUAUUAUUUAAUUAUAAAAUCUCAUAUGUCUCUCCUCUCUCUCUCUCUCUCUCCUCUCUCUCUCUCUCUCUCUCUCUCUCUCUCUCUCUCUGGUAAUAUUUAUUGUCUUGCAAAUCUUUAUGCAGACUUUUUAAUUUUGCAAUUUAUUAUUCCUUAAAAAAAAAUUAAAAAAUUUAGAAUUAAUAGCACAGUCUAUUCCUUCACUUUUCGCUUACAUUUUCGAAUAUACCAAAUGUUGCGAAGGAAAAAGGGAGUUAGGUAUUUAAAAUACUGAAUCUUCUCAUGCUGUGCCUAUGUUUCUAAAUUAUCUUAUACACAUCAUUGUUGGUUAUAGUCGCAAAAAAGCUUUCUUUGCUAUCGUAUUCUUGUAUUUUAAAAAGUCUUUCAUUUCUUAUUCGACCUAAACGUAUUUCUCUAGUUAUUUGUCAUUUGGCUUGCUGCUGCUUUUUACAAAAGAUUGAUGUAGCCAUAAAUUUCGACAAUUACACAGAAUUAAUAGCUGUUAAAAGAACUAUAAGUGCUACUGCUUGCAGACGUUCUGUUGUACAUAAUGUAAAAUUAUAUACAUAUAUAUAUAUUUAAUAAAAUAAAAGUGUUGGAUUGUGUAACUCUUGGUGUAGGGUUAUCUCCCUUACGUAUCUUUCCGCACACCCCUACCUCGUCAAUAAUUGUCGUCAGAAUUAACUCCCUUGGACCUCCUAUUUGUUUUUUGCUUUUCACUAGAUAUGCUUAUGACUAUCUGGAGACAGUUUAGCUUCGAAAAGAUCCAUCUCGAAAUAUUUACCACAAACGGUGUUUUAAUGAUACUCUAUUAUUCGCAAUUAUUAUAAAUCUUAGCCGCUGUUCACUUGUUUUUUUUCUUCUUUUUUUUUUUUUUAACUUACUGCUUCAGUAAUCUUCUUAACUGAUUUAUAUUCUAAACUUCUUCUGUUGCAUAUUUUUUAGUUUAUCUUCUGAACAAUAGUAAUUAUAAUUAUCUCUGUUAAAAUAUUAUAUUGUCAUUUUAAUUACAAUGUUACUCUUUCCAUUUACUUUAUACAUUAAAGAAAGAAAAAACAACAAACAAACCCAACACAGACUUUUUGCUUCUUAUCGAUAAAAAAAAAGAGAAAAUAUUAAUAAAAUUUAUUUGUAAAUGGAUUUCUUGUUUCUGUUCUAACAAAUGAAGGAAUUCCUUUGCUACAUUUUGCUAUUAUCUUCUAUUGGCAGCAUUUGCUUCUCCUGUCGAGUUUCCUUAUUUUAUGAUGUGCAAUUCUUCUCUCCUCCUCCUUCUUCUUCUUCUUCUUUUCUCAUUCCUUAAAAUUCUACUUCUGCUUAUAUAUUCAACCGCUUCUUGUGCUUCCCUACACUGCAUCUGAUAAUACUUCUAUAGUCAAUGCAGGAUGUCGAUGUCCCCUAUUGCUUUUUCUAGUUUUCAUUUUAUAAAAAGAAAAAAAUCCGCCCUUCUUCAGAUUUUUAUCUAUCUAUCUCUAUAUCGACCUUAAUCACAAAGAUAUGGUUUCCCCAAUUCCCCCCAUUACCCAGAGACUUUCAUGAGCAAUGUUUAUUGUUUUGGUCUAUUAGGAGAAAAAUAUGUGAUAAUUCCAGAAUAUUACAAAAUUGGCACAAUGUCAACUAUUUAUUUAUUCAAAACAUAAACAUAUUUUUAAGCAUGAGACAAUUUUCUUGUUUUGCUUUAUAUUGUAUGUCAAAAUCCAUCAGAUUGCACCACUAUAUUGUAUACAGAACCACCUUUUAUUUGUUAAUUUAUUAUUAUUAUUAUUAUUAUUAUUAUUAUUAUUAUUAUUAUUACAACUGUUAUUACCAUUUUGAAACUCAUAUAUAUAUAUUAUCAUAAAAGGAAAUGACUAUGUCUGUGUUAAUGAAUCCAUAUAUAUACAUGUAUAUAUAUAUAUAUAUAUAUAUAUAUAUAUAGACACAUACACAAACACACACACACACUCAAACACACACACACACACACACACACUCAAACACACACACACACACACUCAAACACACACACACAUACUGUGGAAAAAAAAUUCUCCCGCAUUUUAUAGUUGACAGAGUUUUUGACAGCAAAUGCAAGCUGUACAUUAGUCCAAGCCAUAAUGAGGAAUGGGGGUGGGGGGAAAGA
This is a long non-coding RNA of Octopus sinensis (East Asian common octopus), 3169 nucleotides long. RefSeq lists it as uncharacterized. The record is from RefSeq and is a predicted model, not a curated record. Lineage: Eukaryota; Metazoa; Mollusca; Cephalopoda; Octopoda; Octopodidae. The transcript has 2 exons.